This 1213-nucleotide long non-coding RNA is filed under the name Pan troglodytes (chimpanzee). RNAcentral's name for it is "lncRNA (ENSPTRG00000054135.1)". The record is from RNAcentral. Lineage: Eukaryota; Metazoa; Chordata; Mammalia; Primates; Hominidae.
AUUUAUACUGUUCUUAGAUCACAGCUUGGCACAUGUAAAUGUUAGUUCUUGCAGUGAUUAAUCAUUAUCUAUUUGUAUACCUAUCUAUUCACUCAUUUCUAUCCAUCUUCCAAAUUAAAUUAUCUCAUGCAAUAUCAUCAUUUUUGCAGCACUGGAAAGUCCUAAAGUACUUUCCCCCAAAUUACAACACAUUUAUUUUCCAUGUUUCAUGUAGAGUCUGUUUUCCAUCUUAAUAUACUCUCCUGUUCUUUGAUAUUAUGCAAUAUUUCUGUGAUGAAAAUUGGGGCUAUUACACAUGUAUAACUUCUGACUUUCUCAAUGCAUUUUAAAUAAUCACAUUUGUUUAUUUUAGAGGAUGAUAUGACAGAUUGCCUGAGCCUCAUCAAUGAAGUGUGUAUGGAGGCAAAAAGCGCAGGCGACACGGAACUGCAGGCUGAAUUCUUGACGCAAGCUGUAAUUCUUGGCCUACAAGAAAAGCAUUUAAAGGCAGACAUCAUGACAAACCUUCAGGAUAUAAUACAUUUGCUGGAAGGAAAUGAAUUUAUUUCUCCUCGAUCACGGCUAACCCUGGCAAGAAGCCUAGUUUUGCUGGAUGACUUAACCAAAGCUGAGAAAUUCAAGGAAUCUCCCUUUUCAAAAACAGGAAAAUUAAAUUUGUUAACUCGGGCUCAUAGCAUUCUAACUGAACAGAUGCUAGCUUUUGGAGAAACAAUUGAAUUUCGUUCAUCAAACACUAAAUAUGCAAAUCCAUUACAGCCUUUGAAAAAUAUCUAUCUUCCCCAUGUCAUGUUAUUGGCCAAAAUAAAAAUGAGAAUUGGUAAGAACAUUUAAACUUAUAUUGCCCUAGAAUAACUGAUAAAACUUUUUAAGUUAUUUUUAGGGAGGCUAUCAUAUGAGUGCAUUUAAAAGAGGCAAUAUUUAUGAAUACUCAGGCUCCAUUUAUUUAACCAAUAGUUUUUGAUCACUUAUCAUAUGCCAGACUGUGUGAUGUAUAGAUGGUCUUUAUAUAUGAAUAAAGUAUGUGGUUGAUUACCAUAAUAUAACAUGCAUAACUGCUUGGUCUAGACUAUUGCACUUUAUCCAGGUCAUCAGUCUUUUGGAUUAAAAUUAUGCCCACAUAAUUUACUUCAAAAUUACCAUGCAAUUCAGUAACUUUACUGAAAAAAAUCCUACAAACGCAAAAUACAUUUCUUAAAUAAUCUGUUGUCUAGCA